Molecule: ribosomal RNA, 505 nt
Filed under: uncultured bacterium
Lineage: Bacteria
Description: partial 16S ribosomal RNA
Rfam family: Bacterial small subunit ribosomal RNA
Source: RNAcentral
GACGAACGCUGGCGGCGUGCCUAAUACAUGCAAGUAGAACGCACAGUUUAUACCGUAGCUUGCUACACCAUAGACUGUGAGUUGCGAACGGGUGAGUAACGCGUAGGUAACCUGCCUGGUAGCGGGGGAUAACUAUUGGAAACGAUAGCUAAUACCGCAUAAUAUUGAUUAUUGCAUGAUAAUUGAUUGAAAGAUGCUAUUGCAUCACUACAAGAUGGACCUGCGUUGUAUUAGCUAGUAGGUGAGGUAACGGCUCACCUAGGCGACGAUACAUAGCCGACCUGAGAGGGUGAUCGGCCACACUGGGACUGAGACACGGCCCAGACUCCUACGGGAGGCAGCAGUAGGGAAUCUUCGGCAAUGGACGAAAGUCUGACCGAGCAACGCCGCGUGAGUGAAGAAGGUUUUCGGAUCGUAAAGCUCUGUUGUAAGAGAAGAACGGGUGUGGGAGUGGAAAGUUCACACUGUGACGGUAUCUUACCAGAAAGGGACGGCUAACUACGUG